GGCCUUUUAGCAUAUCUGGUAAAUGCACAAAGACAGUGUCCUCCCAACCUACUAGUUCCUGUAUAUACUUGACUUUGAGAAGCUGGUUCGAAUCCAGCAGAGGCCA
Non-coding RNA from Coprinopsis sp. MPI-PUGE-AT-0042, 106 nucleotides. Lineage: Eukaryota; Fungi; Basidiomycota; Agaricomycetes; Agaricales; Psathyrellaceae. The record is from the annotation of a GenBank genome assembly.